UCUUGCGCAAUGGGCGAAAGCCUGACGCAGCAACGCCGCGUGCGGGAUGAAGGCCUUCGGGCUGUAAACCGCUUUCAGCAGGAACGAAAAUGACGGUACCUGCAGAAGAAGGAGCGGCCAACUACGUGCCAGCAGCCGCGGUGACACGUAGGCUCCAAGCGUUGUCCGGAUUUAUUGGGCGUAAAGAGCUCGUAGGCGGUUUAGUAAGUCGGGUGUUAAAACUCUGGGCUCAACCCGGAGAGGCCAUCCGAUACUGCUGUGACUUGAGUUCAGGAGGGGAGCGGGGAAUUCCUAGUGUAGCGGUGAAAUGCGCAGAUAUUAGGAGGAACACCGGUGGCGAAGGCGCCCCUCUGGACAGAAACUGACGCUGAGAGCGA
Molecule: ribosomal RNA, 377 nt
Filed under: uncultured bacterium
Lineage: Bacteria
Description: bacterial SSU rRNA
Rfam family: Bacterial small subunit ribosomal RNA
Source: RNAcentral